This 41955-nucleotide long non-coding RNA is filed under the name Aquilegia coerulea. Its description in RNAcentral is "long non-coding RNA (ACOE_LNC001103)". Lineage: Eukaryota; Viridiplantae; Streptophyta; Magnoliopsida; Ranunculales; Ranunculaceae. The record is from RNAcentral.
GUAAUUUUUUAGUAGGAUCCUGCACUGAAGAUAACCUACAAGGAUGAUGUUGCAUUACAAGGUGAUCCUGCACUGAAGACAUUAGUAGUUUUUUCAUAGGUGAUCCUGCAUUUGUACUAAUUAUGCAUGCAGUUAAAGCUAAGAAAACAUUGUUGUUGAUAAGAGCUCAUAAUUUGUUUAAUUCUUCAAUGUAUUGCUCAAAAGUGAUUUAAACUUCAAUGUCAUAAUAUUGCAAUGUAGAUAAAUCAUUUUGGAAUUAAAAAGACCUGGAGAUGAUCCAUCAUAUUGGCUGUAUGCUGUUUACUUGAACCAUAGUUAGUAGUCUUUUCCUUGCAACGAGAAAGAGGCACUUGAAAACUUUUCUUUAAUCGUUAACAAAUGUUAUACCUUUUCCUCGGGGGCUUUAGCUAUCAUAGAGACAUAGACUUGAGCUUUUGAUGUCAAAGAAAUGGUUAGUGCUGAUUCACUGCCUGUUCUUUAAAGCUUGUUGUAAUAAUUUGGUCAGAUCUAGACUGGUCCAUGUCUUUUUAAGUUACACAUAGGAGUUUCUCUACAAGGUUUCGUUCAAAUUUUCUACUAAUACAGCCAUGGCGUUCGGCGGAUGCCUUUUAACUAACAGGAGGUGGUCGUCGGUCCGGAAAAUAGAACAGCAUCAUCUGGGGACAAUUUCUUAAGAGUUAAUCUUGUUGGUGAUUUUGUUGGCUAUACAAGUACUCCAUCACUUGAGGACUUUUAUCUUGUAAUUCCUAGGCAGGUAUGUUUGAACCGUAGUGUCUUUAUUUUAUACAACUUGUUGGCUAUUAAAUUUUGUGCUACUCUAUUAUGUUCUUUACUUUUUCCAUAUUAACAUUUUCCUUCAUUUCUGUAUGAAUAAGAAGAGAAAACCCUUUCUGUUGUACGUAUGAUUCCAUCUUGUAUGCUUGAUAUAUUAUAACUUAGAUUUUAUAUUUGAAGGGUGGUCCUGGACAGCCCCAAAACCUUGGAAAUAAUAUUUCUAUGUGGAUGUUGCUGGAGAGAGUGCGAUUUACAUUAGAUGGUCUUGAAUGCAACAAGAUUGGUGUCAGUUAUGAGGCUUACAAUGGACAACCUAACUUCUGCUCUGCACCAUUAUGGAGUUGCUUGCAUAAUCAAUUAUGGAACUUUUGGGAGGUUAGACUUCUUAUAUGAAUCCGCUUCUGUUUGUACUUUGUACACAUACUUGCUCCAUUGCUUGGUCUGGUUGAUUAUGUGAUUUUGAAUUUUCUUGAAAAAAACUACUAAGAUAAUGUUAUAAUUAGUGUGAGUUAGAGAGGGGAAACAUAUCUAUGAGUUAAAUUGUUGAAGGAGCAUUAGUUGAAUCAUUUUUUUCCCUUAUUGAUCGGUAAACCAAGCAAUAAUCGUGUUUUGACUCGUUAUGAUGACUCGUUAUGAUGGCUAGAGAGUGUUUUGACUCGAAUGUAUAAUAAUCAAUUGUGUGCUUCGGUGCUACCAUACUUAAUAAGUUAAUAUGUUUCAUCCAGGCUGAUCAGAACAGAAUUCAAAGGAAUCAAUUACCCCUGUAUGGAGUGGAAGGAAGAUUUGAAAGGAUAAACCAGCAUCCAGUAACGAUCUAUUAAAUAUUUUUCUGUUACUAUGUCAUUUUAAAGCUUUUCUCUAACAUCUCUCCAUUAUGUGCAGAAUGCAGGGACUCAUUCUUUCUCUAUUGGGAUCACUGAAGUUCUCAAUUCAAAUCUUUUGUUGGAACUAAGUGCUGAUGAUAUAGAAUAUGUCUACCAAAGGUUCAUUAUAUGCCUCUUAAUUUAUUAUAAUUGUAGUCCAGGGUGAGGCUACCAUUUCAUAUUUGAAUGUCAGCACACUUCAUUAACAAACUUAUUAGAAAAAUGUUUUACUUUUUCACCUAGUGUCACAUUUAAACAUAGAAAAGAUAAAUAGUUGAACAUGUCUAGUACCUUGUGUUGAUAAAAUAAAUUAAGAGAAAAAGGUUUAAGAUUCAUGUCCAUUUAGGAUCCUUGGGAAGUUAGAAAAUACUGUCAUUUUUUUAUUCAAAAUUGAAUCUUCUGUUUUCAGGAGUCCUGGAAAAAUACUAAGUGUUACAAUUCCAACAUUUGAAGCUCUCACUCAAUUUGGAACUGCUGCAAUCACAACUAAGAAUAUUGGUAAACUGGAAGCAUCAUACAGCUUGACGGUAUUCUCAAUUUUCACAUAAUAUUCUAGGUUAGACAAGCACUUCGAUAUUCAGUAGUGUUGAGCAUGUUAUUUAGGUUUGAGAUGAUUAUAGUUUUAAAUAUUCAUAGUGGAAUGUUGUUCAUGUAGAUAAGUCAUAAGUUUGCUAGGAAUCUGAUUCCUUUCUAUUGCAUGGAACACAUUUUUUGAUUGGUUAAAGUUAAGAAUAAUAUUGAGAACGAACUAUGUGACUUUUAUAUGAAUUUUCUGUAUUAUGCUUGACUAUGCAUUGUUUUAUAAAAGUACUAUUGUACAUAAUAUUUGAAUGUCUGGAAUAUUUUGUAAACAACCAAAACUUCUGGUUUAUAAGCAUGAUUGUGAAAAAUAUUGGGGGCAAUGAUAAACAGAUCCUACAUGUACCCUUUAUAUUCAGAAAGUUGUUGGUUCACUGUCUUUUGCUAACUUUGGUACCUUAUUGAAUAAUGUAUAACCUUGUGAUUUCACUAUAAAGAGCUCUGCUCUACUAUAGAUUUGUUACAGGGGAAAAAAUCAAGUCUAGUUAAGGUUUAAAGGUUGUAUUUUUGCAUUAUCUGCACGUUUCGGUCCGGCCUACUCAUGUAUGAGGGUGCUUUUAUUCUUUGUAAAGUAGAACCUUUGGCUCCUCUGUGUAUAAUCUUCACCUAAUAAGAUAAUAUUUUUGCACACAUUUUGAACUACAGUUAUCUUAUGCAUUAAAAGAUGCAUCCUAGUAUUUUUUUUUUAACAUCAAUAGUCCACGAUAAUUUCCUAAAUUUUUCACAUUUGAAUUUUUGUAGUUUGAUUGCGCAAGAGGUGUUACCCUCAUGGAGGUACCCAUUUCUUGCACCAAUCUGUAACGCAUAUGUAUUUGAUCCUCAUUAUUAUGAUCAAGGAUAUUUAAAGAAUAAAUUUUACGAAUUUCUGGUCUCAGGAACAAUUUUUUAUAAUGAAACCAGAAGAAGUAGCCAUUCGCUCAUUUAAACUGUAUCUCACAACAGAUCAAGCUGCAAAGUAUGAAUGUGCGGGUGAGGGAAAAAUUAUGAAAAUUUAUUGGUUAACAGCAUGGUAUCGUUGGUAGAAUAGCAUUACGCUCCAUUGUUGAAAUGCUUGUGCUUGAAUGCAGCUAUACUGAAGGACUCUGAUUUUAAUGAAGUUGAUAGAGCAGAGUGCCAAUUUACCACCACAGCUACAAUACUGGAGAAUGGGUCUCAGGUUUGGAAAUAGCUUAAGACUAUAAUUUAACGUUCUGUCAUCAUUCAUUCCCCAUCUCCUGGGCAUACAUCUUAUAUAGGACAUGUUUGAACAAAAUAUAUGACACUUCCAUACUAACAAGGAAAAUCACUGUAUAUAUUUUUCUGAAAACAUCUGGAUUUGACUAUUGUAACUGUAAUGCUUGCCGUUGUAAAUGUAUUUUUGAAGAAGAACUCAGGAAAGUCAUAAAUACCUGUAGACUGUAGUAGAUACAAUUAGUAUCUGUUUUUAACUCUUCUUACAUUUGUUUUAUUUCAAGCUUAUUCAGUUGUGGGUAAAAGCAUAAGUUAGUAACCUAUUUUCAAGCAGUAAUUUAUAAUAAAAUAUUAUUUUAUGAGUAUUUGCAUGUUCUGUGUUUUACUUAUUAAUUUAUGGUAAUUAUCCUUAAAAAUAUUGAAAAGAGUUCCAGUGUUUUCAGAAAGUUUUCUGACCUGGAAGGAAACUAUUAUUGACCCUACUCCAUCUAGGUUUAGUGGAAUAACCGUAUAACAUAAAAUGAAUCCAGAGACCUUGCUUUUAGAUAAAUACUCCACUUGUUUAAUGUGAGAUGUUCAUGAUAGUUUGAUUUAAAAUUUUUCUUCUUUUUCUAUUCCUUUUUUUUUCUCUGUUAUAUUCCUUUUGAUCCUGGCAGAAAACUGGUUUGUUAGUGACAAGUGUUUUUGCAUACUUUUGUUUGUCCUUUAUAAAUGUUGAGUUUUUUGGUUAAUCACAUUGAACAUUCACUUGGAACCAUUGCAAAAUUUGCAGAUUACACCUUUUGAACCACCAAAGAGCGACAUAAAUGGUUUUUUUGGACCUAUUCAAAGCUUAUGGAAAAAUCUAGGAGAUAGUUUUAUAGAUUUCUUUACCGGAAGAAUAUGCAGGUAUGUGUUUUAAAUGAGUCAACAAAUGCAGUUUUUGGCAUUUUCAUUUGAUUUAUCAGCAUAUUAAGACUCUACAUUCGAUUAUACUAAGACCCUGCUUGGCACCCUAUAAAGAUAUCAUUCUGCAAAAAUAGAGAACAUCGUGUGGCAAUGUUUGCAAUAAAUUUAUACAUGUAGAGCUGUAGGUGCAAAAGCACCAGUCUUCACAAGUUGCUUUUUGCUGCAAAAUAAUGAUGAAAUCUGUCUCUUUCGUGCUCUGCUUUUAUUGAAUUAUUACACUCUCAGAACACCAACAUCGAUUUAGUAUUGCAAUUUUUUUUCAGUAUGUCCUGCUAAAUGAUCAGACUGUGAUGCACAGAUUUUAUUGCUAUCUUAGUAUGAUCCUUUAUAAUGAGAUUAGAGAUUGAUUUUUUGUUGCAUGUGAUGUACUAUGAAUCUGAGUUGGCUUGCUGAGUGUCAUGCGUCUUUUGAGUGAAUUGUAUCAAGUAAAUCAUCCUAAUUUUAAGUUGAGAUCCUUUUCUCUUUUCUAACUGCCUCUCUGCAUAUGGGCUUGUACUCUGUCAUCUUGCUUAUAAUCACGUGAUUAUGAGCAGAAGUAAAUGCUCAGGUUUCUUUGACUUCCGUUGCCACAUUCAGUAUAUAUGUUUGAGUUGGAUUGUAACACCCCGGGUUGGCAGGUGGUUUGCCGAGGGGGUGGAUCCUACGGAACUAAAAGGGGGAUAUCCUGAUAUUGGAAUAUAGGUAUAGAUCCGGAAUAUAUAAUCACCGAGGCCUUUUGGGCUCACUUGGCUCCGGAAUUCGAAAGAACUCCGGAGUUAAGCGUGCUCGGGUGGGAGUAAUCUCAGGAUGGGUGACCUUCUGGGAAGCAGACUGCUGCCCAUAAAACCCCACACUGUCGAAUAUCCGCAGUGGCAAAGUGGGGACAAUAUCGGUGCUGAUAUAGGUCGGGUCGUUACAAAUGGUAUCAGAGCAGACGACGGUUCAUCUGUCGAGGGUGGGAGAGUAUGCUGGAAAGGCGCCUAGCCCAGGAAGGGGUGACGGUUGCGCCGAGUACUCGUCUCGCGAGGGGCAGGGAACGUCGAAGAUCUGGGGCUGUAUAUUCCAGAGCCGAGGACGGCUCUCCUCUUAGGUGGUGGGAUUGUAACACCCCGGGUUGGCAGGUGGUUUGCCGAGGGGGUGGAUCCUACGGAACUAAAAGGGGGAUGUCCUGACAUUGGAAUAUAGGUAUAGAUCCGGAAUAUAUAAUCACCGAGUCCUUUUGGGCUCACUUGGCUCCGGAAUUCGAAAGAACUCCGGAGUUAAGCGUGCUCGGGUGGGAGUAAUCUCAGGAUGGGUGACCUCCUGGGAAGCAGACUGCUGCCCAUAAAACCCCACACUGUCGGAUGUCCGCAGUGGCAAAGUGGGGACAAUAUCGGUGGUGAUAUAGGUCGGGUCGUUACAUGGAUGGUGUUGUUUGGUUUACUUUUGGCGAUUUUUCCAACAGGUAAUUUUUUUUUUUUAGUUCGUCAGUCACUGAUAGUUGUUGUACUAACAAGGACAAAUGAGUAAUUGGUUGCAUUUGGAGUUGCAGUGGUUGUUCUUCUGUGGCUUUUACAUCAAAAGGGAAUAUUUGAUCCUCUUUAUGAAUGGUGGGAGGAUCAUGUGGAGUUAGGGAAGCAAAGACCUGUAGAUCCAAGGCAUGGAACAGAUGGUGGCCUCUCCUACUCCUAUCCCCAUAAACAUGGUAGGCUGGAAGGGAGGCACUAUAAGGUUCACAACAAGCAAAGAAGUAGUCACCAUGCUCAUCAUAGGCUGAAUAGGCAUGGCCAUCUUGAACAGGGUACUGAAUAUUAUCACCAUACGCAUGAUGAUCAUCUCCACCAUGUUCAUAGAGACAGACACAAACAUACACGUCGUAAGAACUUGGGUAUCAUGCUGCAUGAUUACUCAGAGAAGGGAGUUUUACCCUCUUUUAAGGAAAGAAAAGACAGUCCAAUGGAUGAAUAUUUUGAGAGUCGUAGACCGAAAAAAGAAAAAGGACAUGUCUAGCGAAGCCACAGAUAAACCACAUAGAAGAAUUGUAGAGUCAUGUGCCACAGGGGCCAUAUAUAUUAAUUUGUAACCCGAAUAUAGUUAAAUUGGUCACAUUGGAAAAUAUUAAUGCAAUGUUGCUUGUAAACUUUGACAUGGUGACACCUUUGGAAGUUUCAAUUUUUUCUUUCCUUUCUCUUUUGUUUUGUUUUUUUUUUUUUUUUUCUAUUUCCAUCCUUUCAUUCAUUUGCAUUUCUAUAAGUUGUCUGGGCAGGAUUCGCACGAAUGGGAACAAAAAUUUACAAAAAAUUGUAAGAAACCCAAGUGGGAAUUCACUUUAGCUGGAUAAUGGCUUGAGAAGAAAAUGAUAAUAGUUCCCUCCCUUGAUCUACACUGUGCGAAGGUAUUGUAUACAUUUUUUUUCAAGCAUUCUUGUAUUGGAAACUCUUGGUAUAGUGUAUCUAUUCACACAUGAAACUUGUAUAUCCAUCUUUCUGUUUUGCUGAAGGUGUAUAUCCUGUGCCAUACUUCUAUUUAUUCUUCUUGGAAACCCGAAUGUGAAAACCAUCUGGAAACGACAAACCAGGAGUACGAACAAUAUUCCCUCCCUUUACUGCUGUCCACCUGUUAAAUUUAAAUGCAAUAAGGAUAAAUCUUUCUCUUUUCGUUUAUCCAUUUACUGAAUUUAUAUCUAUGUGUAGUAGCCACUAUCACAUCUUUCUGUUAUAGAUUUGUGUACCUGUACUGUGUAACCAAGCAAUGCAGAAAGACGGCCAUCUGCACCUUAGUGAAUUCUGUUCCAACGCAGAAUCUCAUUCCACCCCCAAAAGCCAUAAAAUGCUUGGAAGCACCAUUUGAUUCCAUUCCCUGUGUAAACAUUGAUUGUAUUGAAAUGACAACUCACUAGACAAGUGCAAAGUGAAUGCAGUCAUGUAGGUUAACCAUUUCCUUUAAUUGGCAAUGUAUUGCAUGCUAUGGAACAAAGGUAAAAAGUUGAGUUCAGUGACCAACCUUCCAUCUCCCGGGAUUGAACUCAAGGGGAUUUUCGUAUUUGGCAGGAUUUAAGUGUACAGCUGGAGGACAGACCAUAAUUGCCCAACCUGCUGGAAUUGUAUAACCUGCAUUAUUCAUGAUAGAUGUUAGUUUUGUUUAUUUUUGGAUGAAUGGUAUCAUAUUGUUCGAAACUGAUUCAAAAUUAGUGUACCCUUUAUUUCUAUAUCUCGCAUUGCCUUUCUGAAAAUCCCUGGGACAAUAUUUGCUAGCCUGACUACUUCAUUGAUAACCUGCAGUUUCAGUGAAGUUGUGACUUAGUUAACGAAGAAAACCUCUGAAGGGAAUUCAAGGUACACGUAGGUGUAACAAACAUCAGGUUAGAUUGCUCUACACACCUGAGCGGUAUAUGUCAUUGAUUUAUAUUCUUUCCAUGUGAGUUUUGCAUCCUCAUUUUCCCUGUUUCUGACAAUUGUCUCGUGCUCUUCCUGAUAAGUAAUAAGUGAUAAGACCAUGUCAUUUCGGCAACAAGUAAACAAACAGAAAAGGUGUAAGCUCAGGGAUUGGAAUAGACUGAGUACUCUAAAUCUGGUUCACACACCGUUAGUUCCUUCAGCACGUGAGGGUGGUCUGUAAGAAGUUUAAUGGCUAAAGUCAGAGCCAACGAUGUUGUCUCAAAACUUGCAAACAGAAGCACGAACAUUAAAUCUAGAGCCAUUUCCUCUGUAAGAAUUGUUCCUUCCUUCUUCAGUUCUAUGAGGACAAAAUCAAAGAAAUCUUCCUGGCAUCUCUCAGGCAUCAAACGUCUCUCCUCUAACAUAUCUUUCAGCAUUUUCAUCGCCUUCUUUCGUCCCUGAAAAAAUUUACAUAGACUGAGAUAUAUAAUUCACGAAAAUUCUACAUGUCAAGAAACAAAGUAUGGACUAGAGAUUGAAAUCAUAGAUUAUCAGGUACCUGUAAACAUUUAUGAUAAGCAGUACCAGGAAUGUCAAGGGGAAACGAUAUCAAUCCGUGUAUGAAUGCGACAAAAUUCUCUCUUAGAUUCUCUGAGGAUUUUGCUGGAUCGUAUUCAUAACUGAUCAGCUUUUUUGCCGUCAGAUCAAAUAUCAUCUGUAAAGUUGAGUUAGAUCACGAGAAGCAACUUCAUUUUUAAAAUUGUAUGAAAAGAAGUCUCAGUUUACUUGAACUUACAUUUGCUGUGGCUUCUUUCAGUUCGACGGUACCCUGGCUUGCCCACAAGCCUAAGGUUUUGUGUGCUGUAAGUUCCACUUGAGGGAGAAGCUUGUCUUUUAGGCUCUCAGGACCAAAUAGACUCAAAACCAAGUUCUUGAGGUACUUGUACACGAAGCCAUGUAAGCUGCCUACAUUUUGUCUACCAAAGAUCUCUGUAAAAGUAUCUGGGUACCAGCUCUGGACCAGAUGUCCUUCUUGUUGAAAGAUGAAAUGAUUGAUCUCUGGGUCUGUUGAUAUUACAACAGGCCGUCCUACCAAGCUUGUUCGAAAUACUGGCCCGUACCUGUAAAUGAUUGCAGAAUGUAAGUGACGAGAUUGACACUUGCACAUAUUUUAUGAGAACAAAAAAAAAAUUGAUCCGUCGCUGUUGCUAUGUUACUAAAUUACCUUUUCAUUCUAUCUUUGAUGAAUGGAGGAAUAGCCGAUGACGUGUUGGGGGCAAAGAAUUGAAGGGUUUCUCCGAGUAGUGGCAAUCCCAUUGAACCUGGUGGGAGCUUUCCGUUGCAUUUGGGAUUCCUCCACCUAUGCACCCAGUGAGUUAUAGAUAUGACAAUGAAUGCACCAAUGCACAGAAUUGGCCACAUCUUUCUCAAAUGUGUACUAAUGUGGUUUUAUGGCCAAAGAAGUUCCCUCUUUUUGUUUAGAUCAAAAGUUCUUUGUACUGGGUGGAAUUGCUUGAAAUGGGUCUUAGAGACUAAACAGAAUAUGUGAGUUUUGAAAGUUGAGAGGUGGGGUUGCAAAGUGGAAGGGAGUGAAGGAGUAUGAGAACUGCUGGCAUGUUAUCUCAUGAACAAUGAAAAUCACUACUUAAAUAGACAAAUUUAGCUUACAACUGGGACAAAUAUAUAUUAUAAGUUGGCUUCAUUUGUUUUCUGCAGUCGGUUGCUCGAAAAAGCUGUAGAAGUAGUUGGAGAUAAGAAUAGAAUAGCUUAAAUAAUCUGUUUAGAGAACACUCGUACACCUCUUAUCCUUGUCAACGUUUGUAUUAAAUUGUGGUAAGGUGUUAUUAAGCGUAGCAUGAUGAAGGUAACAGGGUGCUUCUUGAUUCCCUUCAGUUGUUAGCCAGCUUUUUGGUUCUUCUUCAUUACACAUACACCACGUCCUAAAGUAUUUCUUAAUGUUAAUCCCUUAACCUUCUCUUGUUCUUGUCGGUUGUCUGUCUUCAGGAUUGCAGUACACUAAAAGGCUUUGAGUUCAUUGCAGGUUCAAUUAUUCACACGAAUCUACGCGAGCACGAGGCACUAAUGUCAGCUUUUUAAGGGUGAGCAAGACCUAUUCCCUCUAUCUGAAAAGAUAUAUGAAGUUCCACAUGAUCUUACUGACCUAAGUAUAUCAGGAUCCAAUCUUCAAAUGCAUCAUAAAAUACUAGAAUCUAAUGAGUUACACCAACCAUUUGAGAUCUUCCCAAAUCUAUGUUAAAUACUCCGCUUUGCUCCCUAAAAGAUUUUAAUGCCAUUGAAAAUAUGAAUUUUUUUAUGUAAUUAGAUAUCUUCCUAGAUAUCAUUUACCUCUUGCUAAUCAUCUCAAAUUCUCCAUAUCAUGGUCAUAUCUUAGUUCUUUCAAUAACAUUCGUUUAGAUAUUCUUGCAACCACUUACUGUAUAUGCAUUAUGCAUUAUGCUUUUUUUUCCCUCAAAUGAUUUUGUAGUUGGUGUGAUGAGCUAUCAUUCGUUGACCAUUUUGGUGAUUCAUCUAUAACCCACCUUAUUGAGCCACGGGUUCACCUCCCCAUGCAACUUGAACAAUGUUGGUAGACCCUUAUUUCAACCUACCAUACCACACAGGAACAAUAUUUGGAUUUAUUGGAAACUACUUGGAUGGUGUUUUGAGCAAGGAUAUCACAGAGAGCGUGCGGUUCCUAACUCCUAUAGCUUUGUCUGAUGGUGGGAUUUGUGUUCUUUUGACAUGUAGAAAAAAAAAUUCAAUAUUUGGACUAGAAUGGCCCAUAAACUUGGAACAGACUUGCAUUGCUUGAGUUGUCAAAUAUCCCUUAAUUAGAAGGGUAUACCUUCAUUAGGACUCAACUGAUGGUUAUUUGACUCAGCUUGCUUAACUAUCUGGGAAGAGCAUUGGAAAGGUUCCUAUAAAGGGUGCACAAACAGACAAGCUAAUAUACUAGAUAUAUUGGCUUAACUUCGAACAAAGUCAAUUUCUCUAGAAAGCUGCACAUAAAAUAUAAGUUUGGCAUUGGUAGAGAACACUGACUAUUCGGAUAUUCUUUUAAAUUAACCAUAAUUUGGAUCUGGUUUUUAUAGCAAAAAUGUCAUCUCCUUCGAAAUUUGAAUGGACAGGAACUCGAGAUCGUUAGUUAAACUAAGAUAACAACAAUGUCAUGUUGAUGGGUCUGCAAGUCGGUGGCAGUGCACAUUCAACACAAGGCUGAUUGUUUCUGCCAAUAACAUAUCAUUAGGAUCAAACCAGUACUUGCAGUCUUGCACCAUAUUAUACCAGGCAAGGGGAUCCAGUUUCUGCCUGCUUAAUCAUUCACGCCCUCACGAUUGAGCAUAGUAAGCAUUGCACAAAUUAUUUGCAUACAUACGCGAAUAACUUGAAGAGAAUUUUUUUUUUUCAAUCCAAGUGUGCUUAAACUGUGCAUAAGUGAAGUUGAACAAGCAUCACUCCCACUAUACCAUGUUCUACAAUGUGAAAUAUGAUGCAAGUCCCCUUUAAUGCAACCUACAAUUAAAGGACCAAGUGCUAUAAAAAAAUUAAUUUUCCUUCCAACACCCUGAAGCAACUGGAUAUAUAAACGAAAGUCUUAAAAGUUGUUUGACCAUCAUUACAGCUAAAUUUAGAUAGCCUGUGGAUUAAAUAAGAGUUUAAGCUCUAAGUUCAUGUAUAGGUCCUGAAAAGGUAUAUUUGCGUUCGUUUUCAUUCAAUAAUAAUGGAUAGAGGAACCGUGUGAGUCCAUCAAACAAUCCUAGCUUUGUUCCAGACUUCCUGUAAAGAGGGACGAUAGGUAGGAGUUGACCAUAGUUUGGUUGCACACCACUUAAAUAUCAAUAAUAUAUAAAUCAUACCUCUAACAUUAUUAUUAAUUAAUUAAUCAGUUGAUUAUUGUUAUUAAGUGGUGUUUACAUAAAGAUGGCCUUUGAUCCCACCAUAUCUAAACUUAUUAAAUGAUCUUAGGAGUUGGGAGUAUAUUAAGUCUAAGAACAUAGUUAAUCAAUAAUCAUAUAUAAUCAAAUGGCACCGCUUCGAUUUUAGCUUAAGUAUGCUGUUAGAACUCGGAAAUGAAGUUAAACAAGGGAUUUAAAUUUUAGUAGUAGGUCAUUAUGUCCUUCCACUGCUGUCUCGUUGAAACUUGUACAAGGAAAUAGCACAAAAGUCUUGCAGUUUUAAAAGUGCAGAAUUUUUCUUAUGUAUAUGCAUCUUCCAGUCCUUAAAUAGUUAAAUAUAGACAAGCAUUUGUUUCAAACUGCCUGAAGCAUCCUGACAGGAACAUAAAAUGAUAGAAUGGAAUGUUGUUGCUUAAUGAUCAUUUAACUGCCGUGAAAAAAUAGAAAGCUGUCAGUCAUUUCCCAAAAGAAAGCAAAUUAUUUUCAACAUGCCGUUGCCCUACCAGGUUUGUUGGAGGUGGACCAAAAUACUUAGUCAUUGUAAACUGAACAGCUAGAACAAGGUUAUGGAAUAAAUGACUUGAAUUUCAGAGGUGAUUUAGUCCGAAAACUCAGUGUACCCAUUGGAGUAUACCAAUUUGUUAUCCGGAUACCACCAUUUAAAAUAGGGGUUUUUAGACUUUGGGCCACCUAAUUAAUGCCUAUUUAGGAAGUGGGACGCUGGGCUUCCAUUAGAAGCCGAUAAUAAUGGGAGCUACACUGGGCCACCUAAAAUAUCUAUUUCUUUUGUUCUCCCUAAAUCUUCCACCCAGGUAAUAAUAAAAGGGAGCUACACUGGGCUUCCAUUAGAAGUUUAGAACCAUGAAACAGCAUUCCUUUACAUGUAUAAAAAUGAUAAUCAAAUGUCCAAAAGAACACGAGACAAAAAUAGAUAGAGAAAAAAAAGAUACACUACUGGAGCUGACAUACUUCUGGCUUGCUCUAGGAAGAACAACACUUUGAACUCUUAGAAACUGACUCUGCUUCUUGAUCACCGUGUAAAGCCACCGUUUCAACGUCCAUCAUUCGUGUCACAUCCUGUUUCUUGUUCUCUUGGGAAAGAACUUUUCGGCUUAAGAUGUUGUAAAUCUCUUUGACAACUGUCUGGAAGGCAGCACUGACAUUGGUUGAAUCAAGGGCCGACGUUUCCAUGAAGAACAGAUUCUGAGACUCGGCAAGGGCCUUGCCUUCAGUAGUAGGUACCUCUCUAGCAUCCUUGAGAUCAGAUUUGUUGCCAAUGAGUAUUGUAACCACAUUCAUAUCAGAGUGAGCUGCUCAGAAAGAUGAAUCACACCUAUAGCCUCAAUUCCUAGGCUAUAAGGAAAAGGGAUUUUAUGAAUAAUGGUGUUCCAUCAGUCCGUAAUGACAGUUGAUACAAAGACACAAACAUGCGGACGGCACAGGACCAACAUUGCAGAUUUGCAGGGCCUACCAAAACAAUGUUUCUCCAACUCCAAGAGAAGAAUCUGAUUAUAGAUAAUUAUAACCAUCAACCAUUUUCAUGAAUUAGGCCAACAUCUCUUAUGCCAUCUGACUAUUUUAAGACUCACAAUAAUGAGUUCUUCUAAUAUUAUCUCUGAGAUUCAACCAUUGCCAUAACUAAAAAUUCGAGUCUCCCAAAGAUAAUAUUAAAAGUAUUCACAUGAAAUGUAAGAUGGUUGAUGGCUACAAUUACCAAAUCAAGCAACAUAACAUCUCUCAUAAGUGGGUCCAUUGAGUGGUGUAUGCAGCCCCCUCACGUCUGUGACAUGUAUCACUAUCUAAUAGGUUCCCAUUAAUUCAGUUACUUAAAAGAUUUUCAGGCGGAGAUUUUCUUUAACAAUUGAAGUACAACUGAAACAAUAACGAGUACUUACAGUGCAGUUCAUUAAGCCAGCGACCAAUGCUAUCAAACGUCUGGCGUCUACUGAUGUCAUAAACUAUGAGGGCCCCAACAGCACCCCUGUAAUAUGCAGACGUCACAGCUCUGAAACGUUCCUGACCCGCAGUGUCCCAGAUUUGUGCCUUAACUUCCUUCCCCCCAAUAUCUAUCUUUUGGGUUUGGAACUCCACCCCUAUAGUUGAUUUGGAGUUUGGGUAGAACUCAUUUUUGGCAAAUCUUGCAAGCAAGUUUGAUUUCCCAACAGAAGAAUCACCAAUCAAAACAAUCUUGAAAAGGUAAUCCUCAUUUUGUUGUUCCUCUGUGAAAGAUGUCAUCUCUCAGCUCCUGCCCUUAUCACUGUUCUCUAUGAUAACAUGGUGACGGAAACAGAUGCACUAUGGUUUGUGAAACUCUUCCGGAUUAGAGUGUGGCAAAAUCUCCUAGAAACAACAAAAGCAUUGUCAAUAAGAGUGACAAAGAAGAAAUUAUGAAUAUACACACACAAUCUAUUUGACGCCCAUUUGCAGGACAACAUGGUAAUGAGAAUAUGAGAUAAAAAUUGAGAUCAUCUUAAAAACUUAACUCCAAUAAGGGUAUAUAGUUUUCGAAAUCCACUUCUGAAAUGUCAAAGAAACUGAUUUUGCGGCGAAAAUGACCUCUAUGAUUAGAAGGUCUCCUUGACCACUUUAAAAUUUAAAUAACCCCUUAAGUUAUCCCAACAUAUGGUUGUAAAAAUAUAUCGAAAAUAACAUAUUGGUCAAAAUAAUGCCUGUAUAACAUUCUGACCAUGUGUUUACUCAUAAAUAUGCAUGAACUAAAGAUGCUGUGAACUUAUUGAGUUAACAAUUGUAUUAGAAUUUCUAUGUUUACAUCAAAUCAAUUUCAAUUUAGUAAGCUGACUUGAUUAUCUUCCAACCCAACCAUAAAGUAAAUAUGUAGGGAACAAAUGCAAAACAGAUGGAUGGAUUGAAAUGAAACAGUAAAAAAUCCAUCUCAAAAUCCAUAAUCAAUUAUGGGAACAAAUGCAAAAUCCAUCACUUUGUUACAUUGAUAAAUGUUGGUCAUCUGUUUAAUGAAGAAUGUUGGUCAUCGAAUCGAAUUUAUAAAUAAAUUAUAAUAAUAAAAAUAAUCUUCAAUGAAACCCUAACUUAAUUGAGAUUUAUUGAUGAUUUGAUCUAAUUUAUUAAUUAAUAAGAAAUAAACAAUCCAGUUCUAAAACAAACAAAAUCUUGUAAUUAGGAAAAAAAAGAAGAAGAAGAAGAAGACGAAAACCACUAACCUCGAAGCGCAAGAUGAAUCAUGAAUGAAUGUAGAAGAGAAAGAGAAGGAGACCAGAAAACGAUGGACGACGUGUAACAAGUUUUCUUGAUGGAAAGUUGCACGAAGAAGAAAGAGUUUUAAUUUAUCUUUACUGGGCUGGGCUGUAAAUGUAUCUUUAAUGGGCUUGAAGUUGGCAAUUCUGAGUCUGGGGGUCUUUGUUGAACCCACAAUGCCACAUUAAAAUUAGUUUACAUUUGAACCAAAUCUUCAAAUCUUCCGCAUUUGAUGGAAUAACUUUUAGAGAUUUUUGGACAUACCCCAUUUGAAAGUGGAAAUUUGAGAUAGCCCCAUUUGAAGAAAAAAAAAUUCGAGGUACCCCAUUUCAAGAUGAUGUGGUGUUAUCUUAGAUUCUUAGUUAUCCAUCAUAAUCUUAGCCAUCCACCAUAAAACUAAUUUACGGCGCUGUAAAUCUCUUCUUUCUUGAGAUGGGGGUAUCUCAAUUUUUUUUUGAGCUGAAUAUGGUGCUUUGUGAAAGAUAUAACUGUUUCAUAUUUGCUUGCUAAGUGUUAAGUAAUGUUUUUCAACAAAAAAAAGAAAGUGUUAACUAAUGUUUGUAUCAGAAAGUAACACAUUCUUUGAAAACACAAUAAUGGAUUGGAACUUGGAAUCACAUUAUGGAGCAGGACUCUGUAACGGUCAGUUUCUUGCAAUUCCAGAUUAAUGUGGAUGUUUGAAAGUUUAAUCUACUAAUAAAUCACUCAGAUUUGUCUCUCCAUUACAUGACAAUUUCCAUCUCAUAUUAAUGACCAACUCAACUACAGCUGAUUUCCCUAUUCAAGUAAACAAAGCAAAUCCAAAUGCAUCAGGGAUUGCUCAUUUCUUUUCUAUAAUACAACAGAUGCUUAAGUGAUAACAUUUCAAACAGUGAGUACUCCCCAGACCCCAGCUCAUUGACUCGAGUCCCAUGAGCCAAAUACUUCGGAGGACCCAAUAGCCUACCAAGUAUUAACACAUGCAAUGAAGCCUUGGCAAUGUUAAAAGGUUGAUUAGAGAUAUAUACGGUAUCCAUCCGCAACCUUUGAAGAUGUAGGUAUGUGAAUCUCAACCUCACAAGAAGCAAACUGAUCCGCGAUGCUAUAUAGCACAAAAUCGUUGAAAGAUUAAGAUUGUGCACGGGAUAGUUUCUGUAACAUCCUAUCGUGUUGCAGCAUGGCACUCACACUGUCGACCACCAGAAUAAUCUGGAGAACCAAAACAAAACAGAUGUUAUCUUGAUAAAGCAGUGACACACACAGACACACAGCUCAGAAUCUAAAUACAUGAGAGUGCCUAUAAGCAUUGCUUACAAGUUUAUGACACUUUUUGGAUCACAGAUGGUAGAAUUAAGAUACCAUCAUACCUAAAUAUAUCUAUAAUGAGUUCUGGGUGUUUGAUGUUGAACACUCCUACAUGCACUCAAUAAUAUUUAUAAAAAUUCUAUAUUCCAAAUAUGAAAUGAUCUAAUCUAGUUAUUUAUUACCAGUAGAAGACUUAGCUCCUCAGUCCAUCAACUUUGAACUAUAGCUGGAACUUACAGUUCUCAACUAUCACUUUAAGAGUAGACCCUCUUUUAUUUCUUAAUACUUUUUAUGAGAAAUGCUAAGAAAGAAAACGCCAAAGACUCAAGGGUUCCAGUGCCAUUGAAGUCUCUAAAAAUCACAAGUGAAAUACUACGUCUGUGACUCUGUCAAAUGAACUGGAAUUUCAAUUCCUUGAUGUGUAAACUAAACCUAUUUCUGUGUAAUAAUAUCAAAACUCUUCAGAUAAAUUGCACAACCUUAUCUGUUACAAGGUUGCGUCGCAUCAAGUUAUUAUUUAGCCUUUCCAUUUCAAAGUAAACUAAACCAUACCUGCAAGCAAGCAUAACCCAUUGCUGUUGCAAAGUAGAAAUUUGCAUUACCAGUGCCCUGCAAGUUUUGACACAACUAAUCAGAAUGGGAUAGCAUUUUGUCAUUCACUUCAUGAACAUAUUAGAACGCCGUGCUGAGUGUGAGUGAAGCAAAGACAGGCAGUCUAUAUGUAUGUGUGGGUAUGUGACUGAGAGACAUAGAAAGAGUACCCUCCAGAUCCACAAGUUGUGCAUCACAGGGCUAAGCAACGCGACUCCAACAUAUCCACAGAAGAGGAAGAAAGAGAAUUUCAUAUCUGCAUGUCAUUAUAUGGAUGUGAUUACAAUUACGGAUUGCAUCAAUAGCGAAAAGAAUUGAACAAUUUCCCAACUGUUUGAAAGUUUACCUGCUAGUUCGUUAACAAACAAUCCCACUAGAGCCAAGUACAGAGCAGGAUCUCCACUCUAAAACAGAUUAGGGGGAAAAAGAUUAGGGCCAAUCUACUAUAGCCAAGUCAGUGAAGAUAAUAAGAAAGCAGAUUCCCAUUUCAGAUGAAUUGUGCAGGUUUCUCUGGACAUGUUAUAUGUUUUAACACUAGUAAUAUACAUCAUAUAUUAGUAAAUAUUCUGCAAGGAUUAACAUAGUAACUUACCGAAGGAUAAGAUUUAAGCAUCGAGAAGAUUGCUAUGUAUACAAAUGCAAGGAAGCAAGGUCGGUGAUUCAGGCGUAUUGCCAGCGGCAAUAUCAUGAACAAAAUAUUUAAAUGUAUUACAAUCAGAAAAAAGUCCCUGAAGAAUUCAAAAACUUCGGCAAAGAAGUACCUGCGCCCAAUUACCAUGUGACCAAUGUGUCAGUUCAGCAGAAAAACACGUUGAAAAAUAAAUUUCGUAUAUUGCAGGAAAAACUCCAGCUCACCAUAAGACACCAAUAUUUGGUGAAAGAUCUUCAACAGUAAGAAUAAAACCAUAUGUUCUGCAAGAGAAAAGGUAACUGGUCAGGUCAUCACCAAAGACUUAUCAUCAACAGUAACUACAAUGUAGACUAGAUCUUCACUUGAAACCCAAGGCAUAAGGGUUUUAUGUCACUUGAUCCUUCAUAUGGAGCAACAGUACCAGUAUACAAGCUGGUGAAGCACAUCACCUAAAGACUCCUUCAAAGAAAUCACAUAUACACAACGUUAUUUAUUCCCAAAUAAUUAUAUGAAAGCCCGUUUUUCUACCCUUCAAUGUACUGUCUUUAGUCAGAUAUAUCCAAAAGAAGAUUCCUAGUACUGCUCUUUGUCAUUGCAAUACCCCAUUGGUACCUUACAUCAGUUUCCCAAACACUUUAAUGUUUUGAUGGUCUUUGUCAUAUAAAACACACUUUCCCAAAAAGUUCAACUAGCAGUUUUUAGAAAUGUGCUCAUAGAAUAGAUUCAGUUAAAGAUCCUACACUACAGUAUGCCUACUCCAGGCUGAAACUCAUUGUUACCUUACAUCAAUUUCUGAAACACUUUAAUAUUUUAAUGGUCCUUUUCUUAUAAAACACUCUUUCCCAAAAAUUUCAACUAACAGCUUUUAGAAAUGUGCUCAUAGAUUAAUUUCAGUUAAAACAUACUUGUACUACACUAUGGUAUGCCUACACCAGGCUGAAAGUCUAAUGUUGAAAACUUACCUUUUAAACAUUUCUGGCAAACCACCGUACUGCUUAAGGGAAAUGCUGCAUAGAAAUAGAAAAUAGGAAGACCAUAUAGUCGCCCACAGCAGAAAGUAUAUGACUGGUCUCCAUGAGAAAAAGUGAUCUCCGAGAACUGGAUUGUUUCCAUUUGAACUGGCUGUUUUUUGUAGGUAUAAUUUCCUUGGUGGAGACUCUGGACCGUACCCUAAUAAAAAAAUCACCUGGAAAGGAUAUCAAUUAAUAUCAAUCAACAAGAAAGACUGGAGAGUAAUAGGAAGAGCUGACAAAGCAGAAUUUCAAAUUUUCAAAAGAGAUUUAGUUUCCAGUUAUUUGUAUAGACCUUGAUAAUUGAUAUUCAAAUAAAUACAAUAUAAAAGAAUACGCACAGGUAUCACUAGGAGUGAAGGAUAUAAAGACAAGUGAGAUGCAGUGACCCAUCCAAAAGCUGUCAAUGGAGCCAAGCCUGUCAAAAAGGCAAAGUUAUUAUGCAUCAUCAACAUGUAUGAUGUCUAUAAGAUGUGUCACCAUUAAAAUAAGUAAAUAUUUGCAGAAGCAUAUGGGUCCACAUAAUUGAUGAGACGAGUAUUUUAAUUUAUCUAACAAACAAUAAUAAGACUUAUAAUAUAAACUACCCAAAUAAGACCAAUCACAUCUUAGAGUUCACUUCUAUAGUGAAUUCAUAUAGACGGCUCUUUUCCUUUAAUGUUCUUUUGUGGUCCUUUCAGUCUCAGCCUACUUUAAAUUUCGCCGUGAAGAAAAAAAAGAAAUAUCUAUCCAUAAAAUAUGAUGUAUUUAUUGAAGAUAUGCUUUAUGUAUACUUUAUGGCAGAAAUAUGGAGCAUCUAUGCAAACAGUACAGAAUGUGCUGAAUUGCCAGAUGCGAGAUAGUCUGAACAUCCUACAGGUUGGAUGAUACCAAGAAGCCCAGGUUCAAUUUCAUUUUCCACCAAUAAAACAGUAGUUUCAUGAUAGAUAAUGCGACAGAGAAAGCCGCACAUAUGCCAACAUUACAAGAUUACAUCAAAUAGCAAAGACUAUGUCCUCCCAUAUUUCUGUAAAGUCCAUAGGACCCUAUGUUCAUAAACCCAAUUUUCUUUUCUUUGUUUCCCACUUUUCAGCAAGGUAAGUUGAUAGUGGGCUGACUCCUACCAGACCAAAGAACCCAUGUUCUCCAUAUAUGUGGCAAGCUCAGUUAUUGGGAAAUGAAGAUGGGUACUACGAAAUCAUGAGCACACACCACCCAUCUGCGUACAACUCAAAAGGCGCGUAUAACUUACAACACGAAUCGAACCAAGCAAUGUUUAAAUGCAGUAGGUUAAGGCAUCCCUGAGACAAGCUACCUCAUGCAUGAACCUAUAUAUUUGACUUAUAAUUUAAUAAUUACAUUAUCAAUUAUGUUAAAUGCAUUAUAUUAUUUACUUAUUACUUUCUCAGCCGAAUUCACAAGCUUCUAAGUUCCAAUAUCACUUCUUAUGCUUCCACCGUUAUAACCACUGUAAGUCUGUAACAAAGUCCACCAACGAGGCUACGUUUAAUGGUUGUUAUAGUAUAUGGAUAAGUCCAAAGAAAAUUAAAAUCCAAAUGCUGUUCUUCCCAAGUUCAAAAUAAAUAACAAUGCAAAGAUAAUACUGAGGAUAUUUUUAUCUUCAAGAAAUUCAGUUAUUCAAGAUAGCAUGGGAGAGAAAAGAAUAAAAAGGAGCCCUCGCCAAGUCAUACAUCCAAUAUAACUUGUAAGGCUGCAGCUUUACAUUAGUUCAGUAAACUUUGCAAGACAUUAUAUAAUACAUUUCGCUUCUUGGAAAUGUGUAUGUGUGAUCGGAAAAGUAAAGAGCAUGUCACAGAUGUAAUCAUGUGUAUAAUCUGUUUCCUAUAUAGUCAUAGUCAUAGAACAUAGAACAUACCACGAUGCGUUGUAAUGCCUAUAAUACAAUAGCAUACUUGACCAAUUUGCUAGCUUUUUACCUGAACAUGCUCCAUAGAGAGACAAAACAACCAUCAGAUUUUCAAUGGGGGAUGUCGACAAGCCCAAACAUGUGACUAUUGUGAGAGGAUUCCAUAAAUAUAUUAGAGAAGCAAUGUCUCCAGCAGGAAGAAUAUCUGAAAACAUGUCAAAGUGUGAAUGUCAUCAGCAUACGAAUGGGGAAAAAAAACAAUGCAAAGAUAAAAACAAUAGAACUAAAUAAUUCGAUAGUAGAAAACGGGUGGACACAACUGUUUCAAAAAUUUAGGUCCCUUACACACAAUUUGACAUACCUGAACUUUCUAAGACUUUGUCAAGGUUCAAUGAUUUUAAGCGAUCGCUAUAAGCCAUUUGAAGCUUCCAACCAGUUUCUCGAAUAAGCACUGCAGUGACAAAAUCUGCAACCACAAAUAACAAGCUGUGUACAAAAGGUAUUGAAAUUAACAGCAUACUUAACCCAGUUUUGACUUAAAGGGGGGAAAGUAAAACAAUAUUUCCACAAUAAUAAAAAAUGAUAGAUAAAAAUAUGUGUCAUGUGGCCAGUUUUCAAGGAAACAAAAGAACGAAUAGGAUUCAAUUUUUUUCUUUACAUUGAUGCAUCUAUACAUAAAAAUUUAAAAUUCAUUGACUGUGACAACAAUAUUUACAGACAAAUAUAAGUAAAACACACAAUAAUGAAGUGAAAUUGAUUCUUACCUGCACAAAAGAUAACUUGGCUGGCCAUUGGUUCUGUAAAACAUUAAACAUUGCAAGUAAAACACUUCUGAACCCAACGCACAUAAAGUAACUCGCUUCAUACAUAAUGUAGUUUAAACUUCAAUGCAAUAAUCAUAUUAUUUACCCUAAAACGGUUAAUGGUCCUAGAAGAGACAGUAACAAAGGAGAACCAUGGUACAUAGAUCCUGCAAAAGAAAAAAAAAAUGCCCAUCAACUAAUUAAUCAAUAUAACAGCAAAGAAAUGCACUAAAUAAUUUUCGACAAAUUUUAUGAAUUUGAAGAAAAAAGAACCUGCAUAAGGUGACAUUGAAGACUGUUUUAACCAGUAACCUUCAGCUACUGCAGUAAAAUUAAAACAGUAAAAUUAAUGACUAGUACCAUUAAGGAAACAAGCAUAAACCCUAGAAGGUGAAGGGAAUGAGAGAUUACAUCGACGGAGACUAGUGAGAGGAGUAGCAAUUUCAGCACGAGAACCAAGAAUGAAAUCGUUCGGGAAAUAUAUGAAAACAAGUCUGAAGAUUAAUGAAGCAAUUACCCAAACCCAAAACCAUCGAAUUUUCUCCAUUUUUGCACUUUGGGAUCACAGUUCAGUGUGGUUUGAAGUGGAAGAGGACUUCGAGUUGAAAACGGGAAUAUGUUGCAUAAGAACUACUCUUUAAAAGAGUUGCACCGUGAAAUACUGAAACUAUGUACAAUGGGCUUUAAUUUGAACCAUGGGCCUCAAUUUUUGUCAAAUAACAUACCGUGAUGUAUCGAGCGAAAACUGUCGAUAUUUAGAAUUGCAGUCAACUCAAUUUGUCGAAAAUUCGAGCGAUGUAAGGAAGGAAGUCGGUAGAACACAGUUACACAGGCAUGGACGUCUGAACCCCUUUCACUUUCCCCUCCCUCUUCUUCUUCUUCUGGUUAUUUUCUCUAUUGCUCUUCUUCUUCUUCAUCACGUAACAACAACUGACGCUAGAUUGAUUCAUCUCUCUUGCCAUCUCUAGCAUCUUCUUCAUGAUUUCAUCUUUCUCGCAUUGAAUUUUCUCGCUCUUCAUCCGAUCUCGUGAACAAGUGUUGAGUUAAGAAUACUUUGAAUUAGGUAAUCAAGUCUUCUAUCUAUCUGUUAUUUGAUUCGUGUUUAUUGUUUUGAUUUCUUGCAUUUGGUUGAUACUUGGAUUUAGCAGACCAUCUUGAUUUGAACUCCAGAAACUCUAAUGUAUGUGUAUUUGAUUUGAAUUGCAUAGACAUUAAUGCAUGUUUGUUUCAGUCUCAUGAACCCUAGAGAAAGAGAGAGAGAGAGAGAGAGAGAGAGAGAGAGAGAGAGAGAGAGAGAGAGAGAGAGAGAGAGAGAGAGAGAGAGAGAGAGAGAGAGAGAGAGAGAGAGAGAGAGAGAAGUUUAUGAUUUGUUUUGUUAUUUGAUUAACCAAAUUUUAAUUUGCUACAUUUUUUACUUCAGGUUUUGUCGUAUCUCUAUCUAUUUCCCGCCUGGAUUUAUUGUUCGCUAUCCACAGAAAUGUGGAAUGCUAAUACUAGUUUAUGUGUAUUUGGAUUGGGGAAAUGGAUGGAUUGAGAAUUGAAAUCGAAGAAGAAAAAAUGGCUCCACCAGUAUCAACAAAGGUUUCUCAAGGGGUUUUGGGAUUUUCUUUAUUUGGAAAUGGUGGAGGAGGGUUCUUUAAACCAGCGACAUUUGCAUCAUCAUCAAAUGAAGAUGAGAAGAGUAAGGCAAAUAAUAAAGACGAGAAGAUUUUUGUAUCCCCUUCUGUAAAGCUACAAUUGGAUAAAGACAUUUACAGGCCUGGUGAUUCUGUUGCUGUGACCAUUACCGUUCAUAACCCUGCUAAUACAGAUGAUGCCACAUGUUCUUCUUCGUUUCUGAUUGAAAAACUUUCUUUUGAAAUCAAAGGACUUGAGAAGUUGGAUACUCAGUGGUUUGCCACUCCUAAGCCAUUACCAGGAUCCAAACAGAGAAGAGGUAACACUAUCAACCAAUUAGUCUUCUAAUUGUUUACAUUUUUAAGCUUUACGAUUUGUUAGCACUUUUGUGUACUUCUGAGUUCUGUCAUUCUAUGAUUGCAAGAGGAAUAAUAAGUUUUUUACAUGGAUAUCAGUUUGACUCAAAAUUGUCAGGAAGUUUUAUAAUUAGCUUGGUCAUUCACAAUUCACGCCAUCCUCUUUGAUUUCGUUAAGAAUGGCAAGCCAAAACAACCAAAGGACUAUGCUGGAUGACUUAAAUUAGAAGAUGUGCCCAGCUUUACAACCAAGUUGUGAGUCGAACUACUAACUAUGUACAGAGAGCUAGUAUAAAAGCAGAAAUAUAUUGUUUGUAUGUGUAAUUCCGCUGAAGCUGGAGCACAAAUCCCAUCAAUCCUAGGUUGCUAAAAUUAAUGUCGAAAUUUUUCUACUAAAGACUUUAUCUAAACGUUUCCUACUUAGCAUCAAGGAAGGAAUGGUUUUUUUUUUUUUGUUAAUGAAAUGGUAAUUGAUCUCAAUAUGUUUUGUUUAAUCAUGUUGAAACGUCAUCAACAAGAAUCAUCGAACUGUGUGUUUUGCCUAUUAUAUAGUAUUAUUGUGUGUACUCUUUAGCAACGUUGCUGUACCAAUUGUGUUUGUUAUUCUUGUGUGCAGGUGAGCAUGUUUUUCUGGACAGUUCAACACCAUCAAUUGUUUCAAAUCAGGUUGUUUCCACAGGUGGAACUAAAACAUGUAAGUAAACUGUUUCAAACCAAGUCUUCAUGACAUAGCAAUUCAGUUGAGGUUGUUGAGUGUUAUUUUCUUGUAACCUCAUCUAUUUGAGAUGAUUUUUUUCUAUUGUCUUACCCUUUUUUACCCUCAGAAAACUGUCAUCUGCAGAUAUUGUGCGGACAGAGCUUCCAGAAAUCAUACCACCAACUUACAAGGGUACCGCGAUUCGUUACUUCUACUAUGUUAGAAGUACUUUGGCAGGACGAUGGCUGGUAUUGGAAAAUGGGCAAUAUCGCCGAGAGACUAUGAAAAACCUAAUUCAACUGGUUGGUGUCCAUGGUAGAUCAAAACAAUUUGUUAUGGUGCAUAUUGUUCUCCCUAAUGCAUUAUCUCAUGCCUAUUUCGAUGACGUGUUUCCAUUUCUAAAUAUCCAUCGUAAUUCCUACUAUUUCAUCAAGUUUAUUGACAGGUUUUAUAUUAGAUGAAAUGCCAAAAAAGCAUAUUAUGGAAACCGUGUUGCAAUAUAAAAACAUAGAUAUGAAAUAGUCACUAGCAAGUAGUAACUAGCAUGGGUUUCUUCUACAUAAAAGCCCUUUAAAUGGGAUGUCAGUCUCUACGGGUCCCCCUCCCUCCACCUAAAAAAUAUAAAGUGAAAGAUAAGAUAGAGAUGGCUGUAUGAAAAACUGAGGUGGGUGCUUUUUAACAUUUAUUUACUAUACUACUUAUUGAGAAUAUAUUAUUUCAUGACUGUUACAUUCCAAUUAUAAAACCCUAUCUUAUAAUUUCUCAUGGAUUAAAAGUUCUUGCAAAAUAAGAAUGGAAGUAACAAUAUAAUAUUAAGGGUAAACAAAAUCAACGAUUGCUUUUCUAUAUUUGUCCCUCUUAUUUAUUUCUUGCUAUGACCUGUAGAUAAUUGGAUUUUAUUUUUCGAAUUAACAGUAAAAUAUGAGAACUAAUCUGAUAUGCAUGAUUAGCCCUUGAGAUUAUGUUGAACGAAAAAUAAAAUUUGUAUUUAUAACUUGUCAUAUCAAGUAGACUAAAUGAACCUUAAAGAGUAUUUACAGUAUUUAUCAAUUAAUCUUACAUCCAGUGUAAUCAAAAAGCAUUUAAGCAUAAAACCAUAUGUAUAUGCAACCCCCACAUGUCUUUCCAAGCAAGUAAGUUGUCUUCUUAUAAGAUAUGUAUCUUAUCUUGGAUGUAUCCUAAACUCCAAUUGGAUGUGAAUUUCAGUGUGAGCAAUAUUCCAUAGUACGACUCAAUUAAGGCUAAACAGGUUAAAUUGUGACAUAGAAUGGAGUUCAAAGCCUUUCUUUUCCUUCCAAAACACUAUGUAAGAUCUAAUCUAGUCUUUAGCUCUUCUGACUUUUUCUUAAGUAGAGAGCAGUGGCGUAGCCAGGAUUUUCGGUGAGGGGGAGCACCCGACCUGUAUAGGUAUUCAUAGUGAAAAAAAAAAGAAGCAAAACAGGUUGAUGGGUAAGGUAGAAGACGAUAAUUAAAUCCAAAAAUAAAAGACAUCAAAAUAUCAAAUUAUAAUGGGAUUAUGUAGUAGCAAAGUAAAAUUAAGUAGUAACCUAGAUUCCUUAAAAAGAAGCAAUGCAAUUUUUUAGGCAUGUAUCAAGGAAGUAAAAUACAAAAUAACCAUAAUAUCCUUCCUAUGAAUGUUAAUUGUUGUUACCUAGUUAAUUAUAUUAAGGGUUAAACUAGUAAAAAAAGUAUAAAUCAAACAAAUUAAUAUCUUUUUGGUGUACAUACAAUAUAAAUAUAGGUAUUUCCAAAAAGUUGAGGGGGAGCACUUGCGCACCCUCAACCCCCCCCCCCCCCCCCCCUGGUUCCGCCACUGGUAGAGAGUCACCAUAUUUUGUAUUUAUAGGUCUUUCCUUUGGUAAGAUCUAAUCUUAAAGUUUGUAUUGUGCAGGAGGAUCGUAUACCACUACAAGUAUGGGUAUCGCACAAAACUAGUGGCUUGCUUGUUGGAGAAGGUCAAAGUGAUGGUGCGUUUUUCAAUUUUAUCUGUUUAACACUUCUAUAUGGCUAGAAUUGUUAGCUUUUAUGAAGACGAUCUGCAUGGUUUGCGUUUUGAAGAUCAUUAUGAGAUCCUCUGCACCCUUUUCCAACUUGUAUUUACUUUUGUCUCGUAACUUAUCUAUAUGGCUAGAGAAGGUGGCAUUGAUUUUGUUUUAUAUGAAGAGGAUCUCCAUAGCUCGAGGAGCAUUGUGAGCAUCAUCUGCCCCCUUUCCAAGUCGUCUAUUACUCACAUUUCUUGUGUGUGCACAGUGCAACUUGAUGAUACGAACUAAGACACACAUUGACCAUGUUAUUAAAUCAUGCCGAAGCAUUGAUUUGUGUACAGUCAUAUGACUUAAUGUGGAAAAGUUGAGAGUGAUUGUUUUUAUUUUGUGAGCAAAAUAGUUUCAGAUCAGGAUAUAUACAGAUAAUUCUUUUAAUAUUCCAUGAAGGAGAAAUAUAUUAAUAUCAAGCAAUUUACGUUGGAGUUGGGCGGAUAUCCCACAUUAGAAAGGUAAAGGAAAAGCAACAGAAAUUAAAAAAUGUCAUUGCAGAAGGAUCUCAGAGUGAUCAUUUAGGUAUUGUGGAGUGUCACUCUUAGGAGUUUAAAUCCUAUUUAAGUUGUUUUAGUAUCUGACUCCUAAGCCUACAAGGUAGAAAGAAUAUUGAAUGCCUUUCUUUUCCUUCCUCUUGUCAAAAGAUUAAUCAAAAAGAUAUUCAUGAGAGGAAUUUUUUAUUUCAUUGUUUACAGGGAUUUUACCUGCUUCAACCCUCGGAAUGGAUAUCUAUUGGAAAGAGAAGGAUGCAGAUUCUGAAUGGGUAUGCCAUAUCCUACUUGUUACCGAUGACUUACAAUACUUUGCUAGAAGUUAUGUACAUGUCAACAGUUAAUACAUAAAGUAACCAUUUCAACUGCUGGUAUGGUUCCUUAAUUCAUUGACAAUUUAUUGUUUCAUUAGGCUAGAGCGAAUGAAUCACCCGAAGAAAUUGAGGAAGGCUAUGAAAGCUCAAGGGACGAGAUCUCAUCUGUCUCUUCCUACAAUCCUACAAAGGGGUAUAUGGACCAGGCACAAGGGAUUUCGUUAUCCCGGCAAUCAUCUGCUCCCAGGUUUUUCAAUAGGGAGUCCUCAUAUCAUCGUGGAGAUCGCUCUAGUUUUUCUUCUUAUGUGGCACUUCCACAGCUGUCUGUAGAUGAGUUUCUUGAUGAUUCAAGUGGCGGUAUGUUAGGUUUUACCUCUUUUCUUUGUGUGUAGGAUAUACAAAGCUGUAUAAUGAUUGCUUUAUUUGUGUUUUCAUGUGUUCUGUUGUGCUGUAUUACUAAGCUAUCUUUAGUAAUUAGUAUAACUAAUUUACUUUUGUACAGCAUAUCACGUAAUUUGUUUUUCCAUAAUUAUGUUACACUGCAAACAGAUUUACGGUCACCCAAGAAGUAUCCAGAACUUCUUUCCCCUAGCCAACAGAGAAGGCAUACCACUUCGCUUUCAACUGAUGAUGAUGCAGGUGUACCUUCCAUUCCUAGAACUGUUGAUCGUGUAGCAUGUAAAUCCUGUACUUUCUUUAAUUAUCAGUUUUUUUAAAUUAUGAUCAUAUGAUAUCCUAACAUGUUUAAUUUUAGAAUCAAUUUAGUCUUAUAUUCGACAAAAUCUUUUUCCAGCAGAAGGAUUCGUUAGAGGAAAAUCUUACAAGAUUAGAUUAGAUGACCAAGUUUUGCUCCAGUUUUCUCCAAAGAACUCAGAUCCAACAUAUUACUUUGGUGAUACAGUAUAUCCUCUUCACAGUUUGAUUUAAGAAGUGUUUCAGUUGCCCAAUUUUGUUGCUUCUUUUUCUUCUUGUUACUUUUUCUGUUUUUGUUAUCCACUUUCUGGUAUUAUGGCUGCAGAUUGGUGGUACUCUCAGAUUCUUUCAUGAAGGAGGUAGGCGAUGCCUUGAGGUAACAUUGUAAUCCACUAGACAAUAUUCGACAUUAUUGAAUUCCUGUUUUUAUUUCAUUUGGUAACUAUGAUUACUGAAACAUAUUACAGGUUGCAAUUGCAUUAGAGAUAUCCGAAACCAUAGGUCAACGUAUUGUCCACCCUUCUAGAAGGAAUUCGCCAAUAAUAACAAAGGUAAACAUCCUUCGGUUUGCUCUCAUUCAUGACAACAGGAAUAUGAUAUGAAACAGUUCAAUAUGCAAUACGUAUAAACUGAUUUUUAGCAAACAGAAGCACCAAAACUUGGUGUGGAGUUUAGUUUUAUAUUCAGACUCAUGCCAGACACGUUUAUUUAUGAUGCUCCUAUACUGUCUGAGGCCUUGUAAUCGAUCUCAGGUUCAAAGUGAUCAUCACGAGGUUGUUGCAGAUUUGGGGCAGACGAGCUUUCUUUUUAGUAUUCCUAUGGAGGGGCCCAUGUCCUUUUCCACUCCACAUGUUUCCGUGCAGUGGGCUCUUCGAUUUGAAUUCUUCACCACUCGAAAAAAUGUGGACUGGACAAGGUAGGAUUGCUUUCAUACUGUUGGUACUCAUAGUUUGUACUUGUUCCUGUGUGGUUGUGUAUUCAUAGUUUCAUAUAACUGUACAACUAUGAAAAUAUGAUUUCUUCAUAAAUGAUUAGAAUACUCAGAUGGUCAUAAGACUUUUUUUUCUAUUAGUUUGUGAAGAUGAUGACAAUUUCCUUACUGAAAGAGAUCGUGAUAGAUUAACGAUCUGAUCUUUAGUCUAUAGUGAGAAAUUCAGAAUCACUUGAAAAUGAGAGAGAGUAACCUCUUACUGAUGGCUUAUCUUAGUUUACUGGUCUGUCAAACGUAGCAACUUCAUGUCCAGAGGUGAGAAGUGCCUCCUAUCAAUACUCUACACAAUGUUGGUAAAGCCCAUAACUUUUCUCAGAAUUGAACUCACUUCCAUACAAGAAGUUGAUUUAAUAUAUAGCAAAUCUUGUCCAGUUUCACAUAUUGUACCUUACGGGAGGUGGAUGUCUUCUUUUGAUCUGGAUGUUUACGAGAUUCUCAUGUAUGGAAAUACCAUAAAUCCAAGAGAAAGCAACUACAUUUUGGACCUUUAGUAUAUCAUUCACUCUAUAGCUAUCACCAGCAUCUGCUACUGAUCUAAACGUGGAGGAUUCUUUGCCUCACUGCAUGUAGAAAAUGCCCUCUUUAGUCACUUUCAAACAAAGCCUAACAAAUGUUAAAAUAAGUACAAGUAAUACUAGCAGUUGUAUGCACAUAUUCAAAGAUUGCACAAUUGGAUAAUUGUGUUUCUGUAUUCCUUCUUUUUAAUUCUCACUGUGACUCUGUAUUACAUAUAGUACAAGGACCUUUUAUAUCAUCUCUCUGUAUAUAAUUUAUGCAUAGUGUUCUCAUUUUCCCUGACAACUUUUUGUUUAUCUUCAUUGCUAGAUAUGAGCAUCCACUUCUAAUAGAAGGAAGAGAUAAAGGGGAGUGGGUUCUUCCAAAAACUGUGCAUGUACCUCCUCCUGGGACUCAGACUGUUCAAACAAGAAAUAAGAAGUCUUUUUCCAUGGGACCUGUUUGGGUUCUUAAUUGAAGGUCAGCAAACCCCGGUUGUCUGUUUCUAUCCAUGAACUUAUCCCCAUCUAAUUUUUUCAUUGGUUUUUUAUUUUAAUGGGGCAGAGAGAGAGAGAGAGGGGGGGGGGGGGGGGGACUAAAACAGGAUUUGUUUAUAAAAUCAUGAUCAAGAAAUCACACUAAAAUCCUAGUUGCUAAGCAUUUAACAUUCAAUAAUGCCCGUUGAGAACGUUACAGGACAUAACAACAUUCUGUUAAUAUAUGCAUGUACCUUCUGCAGCUUUACAAACUACAAUUGCGAGUAGUAUUUGAAAUUGUGUUGAAACAUCGAGAGAGAGGUAGUAUAUCAUUAGUCGACUGUUCCAACUCUUAACGGUAUAGCUGUGGACAUGUACAAGUACAGGGAUCCUCUUUUGUGUUUAGGUUCCUAUAGCUAGCUCACCCGGAGUUGUUGGACAUCUCUUCCAGUUACUUGUUGGGUUUGAGCACUGUUGUACUCUGUGCUUUUCAUUAUCGUCAAUUAAAUUGUCUUGUAAAAGAAAAAAAAAAUGGAACUAAUCAUGUUGUAGACCUUUUUUUUAUGAAAGUGAGCUUGGAUUGGGAAGCCCUACUGCCCCACCUGUAUUGAUUUCUACAUGUUCCACUCCCACCAGCAUCCUCGAGUUGCAAUUGUUAAGGUGUCGUUUAAAUUGUGAAGAUAAUGAGUCUGGUGUUAAGUGGAAGCUUAGCAGGCACAUGGUUAAUUCAUCCUUGAGAUAAUUAUAGUUUAUCUUUAAGUAACUGAUUGUAAAUACAGUAGGUAUUGCAGUGAAAGUAAUCUGAUUUAACUCUUAUUUGUGUGUAUUUAUAUGUGAUUGCAGCCCCCAUUCUGCUCAAGUGAACACCUUUGUUUUUGUUAUUUGGUGGUCUUUUCAGCCUGUUACAGUAUGUAACUUGCUUUUGUUGGAUUUCGGAAUACCCAUCACCGAAUCAGCAUCUCAACACAUUGUACAGAUGAGAAAGCUGCUAGACUUCGAGUAUGUACAGGGCGAGUGAUGCUCAUGCCAUCAUCUGCUGACUGUACUUCCCAAUUGAUUUUCAAUUUUUCCAUUGUAUUUUUAUUCUCUUACUUUUAUUCUUUGCUCUCAGAACUCUUAUAUUUAGGCCUCAUGGACAGAUGCCUGAAUAUUAUAGUCCAAACAAGUUUGGCCUCCAUGGGCUGCUGCUGCUUGUAGAAACUAACUUUUGGACUGAAAUGGACUGUUGUAAAAUGAACUGCUAAUUCAGUGCCAAUAAGGGAGUAUUAGGUGCCGCAUCCACAUUGUAAAAAAUGAACCCUCGACUCCCCUUACUAGAUCUUAUCAGGUAGAACUAUAUAACCUGACUGAUGUGAAGCUUUGUGGAGGGGAUGACAACAGAAUAAUAACUGUUGGAUUAAGAAUAUAUAACACUAAAUCUUCCAUUCUGAGUAUUAGUACCAUUCUUGUUUUUGGCAAUCUUGCUGGAAUUCAAUAACAACUUAACAAGUUCCAGUGUAAUUGGAAUCAGUGUAUCUUGCUGAAAAGUCACUGUGUAACUCCAUAUCUCACAGAAUCAUAUAUUUCUUAAGAAAAAAAAAAUGAUUACCAAGUAUUAAAGAAAUAAUUUUCUUAUAUUUUUUUGAUAUGCAACUAACCAACCAUGCAAAGAAAAUCAAAAGAAGAAAAAUUUCAGAUUUUGCUUGGUACAUAAAAUAUUACUGAAAAUUAAACCAAAAACAUGAAUAUCCAACCUCCAGCUCCAGGUACGACAGAUGCGAUAUUUGGUCAACAAUUGAACACGUCUUCUUUUAACAUAUUCUAAUAAAAAAGUGGUAUUAUACGGGUUGGAAAAAGUACAAAAGACUGCUAUACAGUAUGCAUACAUACCAGUAUACACAAUUCCAUCAGCAAAUUAGUACAAAUGCAUGACACGUUUCACCCACUAUUCAUAAGUCCAAACGCCAAAGAAUUAAAGAAAGUAGUAGUAGUAGUAGUAUAGAAUAUUGAAGAAACACCCAGAAGCCAGAACAGAAAGAAAGAAAGAAAGAAAGAAAGAAAGAAGAAUUUCAAUUCCAAAAGUCUCUUCUCUCUCACUUAAACUUAAACAUACACACUUACCCACCAAUCCAUCUAUAUUCCAAAUCCAGUAUCAUCAAUUUCACAAAUCCCUAAACCCACGCAAUCUGUUCAUUUACGAAUCUCUAUAAAGAAAAAAGAAAAAAAAAAACUCAGCAAGCAACUCGUCUUUCUCUUGCAAAUUGUUGAAUGGCGAGACCAAAUCAAGAAGCAAUUGAAACUUUUAUCAAUAUAACUGGAGCUUCUGAAGAUGUUGCUUUGCAGAAAUUACAGGUACGUUUUCAAUUCAAUUUAGGUUUUUUUUUUUCUUUUUUUCCUGUUUGGUUCUUCUUUACUAAUUAUUAUUAGAAAACUUUAUGAUUAGUUAGUUGGUAGGGUUUUGAAUUAUUAUUAAAUUUAGUUCAAGGUGUGAUUAUGAUUAAUGAUUACUGAUUUACUGCUUGUUAUUUGUGCUUAAUUGUUCAACUUAUUGUCAAAGUGCUUUUUGUUGUUAUAAUUGUCAUAAAAUUGACAGGUUGUUUAUGUAUAUGAUUUUGCAGUAAUUAAGGAUACAAUAUUAUUGAAUUAUUAGAAUGAAUUUAUUCAUGAUGACGCAAUGUAGGAAGAGAAGACUUGUUCGACUUAAGUGAUGUGAAUCAAUUUCUUAGGAAUUUUUAUGUGAGGAAAUAGGUGUUGUAGUAGUGUCAGUUUUAGAAAGCUGUUGCUGAUUUUAACAUGAACUGUAAGGGUGUGUUUGUUUAAAAUGCUGGAUGCUGAUUGCUGAAUGCUGGAUGCUUAAUGCUGGAUACUUAAUGCUGGAUGCUGAACACUGAAUGCUGGAAAAGUUGUUUGGUUAUCAUUUUUAAGAAGUUCUGUUUUUGAUUUGUUUGUUUAUGCAUAAGUGUGAUUUUGACCAUGUUACCCUAUUAUUGGAAAAGUAUUUUGACAAUACACAGUACCUUAUCACAUAACCCAAAAACCUAAAGUUGAUUUGCACUCUGGUUGCGCAAGUUGACCAUUCAGUGUUGUGCUUCAGAUGAGAAUGUUUCACCCUUAGCCAAAAUAUUUGUGUAACUACACUAUAUUGUUACGUCGUACAAACAGAAAAAUGUUCUAACAACAAAACUAUACACGCCAAUUUUUCUUCUAAAACAUGAUAUUUAAAAAACAAAUCUUAACCUUUUAAACGGCUCGUCUAAAAAUUCUAAAUUUUGGAUAUGGUACAAAAGAAAUCGUCAUGAACAUAUGGAAAAUAUUUCAAAGUGAACAGACAAAGGAAAGAUCCCUUACUAAGCAAACGAAUCUGACUGUAAUUUUUCUUCUAAAACAUGACAAUCACAAAAAAAUCUGUAACUUCAAACGACUCGUUUAAAAAUUCCAAAUUUUGGAUAUGAUACAAUAGAAAUCGUCAGGAACAUAUAGUAAAACUUUUAAAGUGAUCAGACAAAAGAAAGUCUCCUUAUUAAGCAAACGAAUCUGACUGUAACGUAAUUUUUCUUGUAAAACAUAACAACCACAAAAAAAUCUGUAACUUUCAAACCGAUCGUCUAAAAAUUCUAAAUUUUAGAUAUGAUAUAACAGAAAUCUUCAGGACCUUAUGGUAAAAAUUUCAAAGUGAUCAGACAAAGGAAAGGCCAUUAACUAAGCCAAUGAAUCUGACUGUGAUAUUACUUAAUGGUUAUGGAUGAUAAAAACAAUUUUUAUAAGGGUAGAAUUGUCUAAAUAAUACAACAAGCAUUAAGAAGUUAAAUUAAGCGUGAGAUUUUCGCUGGGCCAAAAUCGCUGAAAUAUCCCAAUUAGUUCUUAAUGCUUGUUCUAAACAAACAACUUAAAAAACACUUAUUUCUGAAUUUUAACCUGGUCUACCACUUAAGAAGCACUUAAUGCUUAAUGCUUAAUGAAACAAACACUACCUAACAGAUAUAUAAAAAAAGCUAAUGUUCUUUUUCCUUAUUGUACAUUUUGGGUGGUGGGUCAUUUUCAUAUAUUGGUCCAUUUUUACUCUUACUGGUUUGUUGAAGACUUGAAGCUAUGUUUGAGCCCAAAAAAAAAAAAACUGGUUGGUUGAAGCUAUUACUAAAUAUUGCAAUAGUGUGUGCCUUUCCAAAUUUUAAUUAGUCUUCUACUCUUCUAAUGCAUAUUCUUGGAACAAAGGAAAAUUUUAUGGUUUACUCUGGCUAUUUUAUGUGAAGAGUGGUUGGACAUGGAGUUGGACUGAAAACUUUUGAGUGUGCUGGAGCUUUCAUGCAACAUAUUGUGUUGGUCACCAUUUAUCAUUACAAACAUAUUUCUUUGGUCCAAGUGAUGGGUCCGUGGGUGACUGGAUUUUGCUUCCUGAGUCUUCUACUUCAGUUGGAAUUCUUUAUUACAUCAAUUAUAAGUUCUGCCACUAUCAGGUUACGCCUUACGGGUGUCCUAGUAUGAGAAACCUAAAUAGUAUUUCUUUUAGGGAGAAUCCAGGUCUUAAUGAUUCCUCAAAAUAUAUAUUUUUGACAAUGUUGCAAGCAUCUAAGACACGUAGACGCACUAACUUGAAUUGGGUACAUUGUCAUGAAAUUUAAAGACACACAACGAUAGAGAUUAAACCUCCACUUUGUCUGAAGUCAGAUUAAAUGUAGUUCCGUACCUGUAUAUUUAAUAUUUUUGUAAAACAUCAGUUCUAAAAAGUUUGUACACAGAUCUUGUUUGGUCUUAUCUGUAUAUUCCUUGUUUUUUACCUGCUUCAAGACCUUUUUUCAAAUCCUGCCGCAUAUUAUUAAAUAUAAUUAUCUGAUUUGCUUAAAAUUGUCUGCUAAUCAGGAACAUGGUGGAGAUCUCAAUGAAGCUGUAAAUUCACAUUUCAGUGAAGGAGACAGAAGCAUGUGUGUACUUUUAUUUCACAAUUUUUUUACAAUUUGCCUAGAAUCCUUGUUUUUUUUUUUUGUGGGUUAUUGAAUAUUGUUUUGUCGUGCGUUUGAUAUCCAGUACUAGACAUCCAACAUCGAUUCCUGCGCCUCAGAAUGAUCUAAUGGAUAUUGAUGAUGAAGCAAUUGAAGUUGAACCUCAACGACCAACUUUUCCGCUACUAUCUGCUGCUCAGCAGUUGAACCCGUUCUCAUUGCUUGAUCCAAAUUUCCGCCGAAGUUUCUUAGAAGGACAUUCUGCUACUGAGUUUACCUCUGGAGUACCACGGGUAACACAUCCAAGAGAGGUGAGGGAGAUACCCAUAGAAUUCAAGGACGAAAAUACCCAGCCUGGUCAUUCUGGAUUGGCUCCAGCAAUCGAGGAUGUCACUGGAACUGCAUAUGCACGUUUGCCUGAAACUCAUGGGACUGUCAUAAUUGAUGAUGAAGAUGACGACAUUCCAACUGCUCCCACUGCUCAUUCUUCUGGUCAGGAGAGGCACCUUACACCAAGUGCUCCUAGAUUAGACAAUGUGGCUGACUAUGGUAAUGAUAUAGAGGAAGAAAUGAUCCGAGCUGCCAUUGAGGCUUCCAGACGUGAGGUUGUAGAAGGCUUUCCAAAUCAGCACAUUGGUGAUAUAACUGUAAGUGACAUCAAUCAUUGUGUUGUAAUUGUUUGAUACUGUGCUUUGCCUCAUUUAUUGACUAGAUUCCGUUCUUGUUUAGGACUCAUCUGGGCCCGAUCUUCAGCAAACACGCUCUCAAAUAGAAGACCCUGACCUUGCACGUGCUGUUUCGUUGUCCUUGAAGGUUAUUUUUCCUUUUUUUAUAAAUUCAAGGUAUAAUUAAGAUCUAAUGAGAAACAGAACACAAAAAUGGCUCUAUUGUGUGCUUUCCAAGAUACAUACGAGACAAAAGGGCCAAACUACAACUCUUUAUGGAUUACCCUGAAAUUGGUAUGAUGUGGGGAAAACUACGUCUUAGAUCGAGUAUGCUGAAAACUAUUUUCCCAGACGUGGUUCAAGCUUUAAGAUUGAGCCAAUGAUUGCGACUCUUUUCAAUUGUUUUCUUGUAUCUACUCGUGGGGAGCUUAUCUGGUCAUUUUAGCACCACUGGUGUAUCCCAUUCCACAGUUUGUUGACUAUUUAUCCACUUAGGUUGGGCAUUCUCCUUGAAGCUUGGUUCCACAAUUGGGGAUACAUCCAAAAGAAGCAUCGAAAGGGCAUUAGUCCAUCCAGACAUGAGAAUGCAUAUUUCACUAUUUUAAACUCCUACCGCAGCCCAAUGUCCUGCAUACUGAACCAUCAACCAACCGCUUUUAGAAUGCAUAUUUUUCGCAAUUGUGAUGAGUGAUUGGGAUGGUGUUAUCAGAAGUGUGUAAGAUUUUUUCUACUGUAUGCAAUGUUUUGUUGGGUGUGAUUUCCUAUAUGAUACCUUAUUAUUAAUAAUUGUUAAGAAAAUAAUGGUUAUGAUUCCUCUGUGUAUCUCCAUAUGAAAUGCUUGAAAUAUGUUCCAGUUAUUUAAAUAUUCUAUGAGUUUCAGUUUUCUUAAUGUGUAUUUGUUUGUCGUUUUAACAUCAUGAUCUGCUUUCAGACAGCUGAGCGAGAGAAAGCUCUGCGUGAGCAGGGUAGCAGUGGUGGAACUGCAAAAGAUAGUGUUUCUGUUGCAUCUGACGUGGAAGAGCUGGAAAGAAUAACAGAGGCAAAUGGAAGGUACUUAUUGUUUGUUGUUUAUGAGCACACGUCUUUGUGUCUUCUGCACAUUCCUGAUUGUUGAUUUUAUAUGGUGGUGGAGGCAAGGGAUUGGCGCAUUCAACAGAGGAACCUUAAACCAACCUAAACUUGAGGCAGGAAGCUCAUCUGUUCAAGAUGAAGCUGAAGAUGUAGAGGAGCAGCCAUUGGUGAGACAGAGAUCCAGACGUGUCUCUUUUGGAUCAGAUUCUAUUAGAGAAGCUUCAGAAAUGGAUGAUGAUAGCCCUCCAUCUAGCCCGGGACCACAUGAUAUUGGUGACCAUCCCCAAAAUAAUGGAGCACCCUUCCCUUCUGAUGAGGUAUGAUCAUUAGCCAUUGAUGAGAUCAACAGUAAUUCCAAGUUUAAGAUAGAAGUGGAUGAUUGUUCUAUGUUGUUGCUAUGAUGUAGUGGGGAGGCAUAUCAUCCCAGGAGCAUGAUGAAGCAGUUAUGCUUGAGGCUGCACUUUUUGGUGGAAUUCCUGAGGGGACCGCAUAUCGUUUUGGAUACCCACCUCAGGAAAGUAUGCAAAUGGGUUCAGAUAGAGGUAUUUAUCCUCGGCCUGUACCUCGACCUCCAUCGCCAACUCUGGAAGCACAACGCUUACUGAGAGAACAGCAGGUCUAUUCGUUGUCACAUUAUUGUUGUGGUAUUAUUUGUUAUUCAUCACUAUUUUAAUGCUUAGAUCUACCUUGCAGGAUGAUGAGUAUCUUGCAUCACUGCAAGCUGACAGAGAAAAGGAGCUGAAGGCCAUUGAGGAAGCGGAAGCACGCCGUGUAAGUGAAGAAGUUGCUAGAGAAUCUGCUCUUGCAGAAGAAAGACGGAAGGAGGAGGAAUCUCGCAAAAAAAUCCUGGAGGAAGAGGUAGGAUUUCAUAUAUGUUCUGUAUAUGGAUCACUUGAGGUUGGCUCUUGUAUUAAGAACAAUAAAAUAGAUAACUUAUAGCGAGGCAAAGACGUAAAUGUUUACGAAAAAGUGAUAACCUUUCAAGUAUGUGAAGCUGUGGACAUAAAUUUACAUAAAGAGAAACUAAAGAAAAAUAAUACAUCACAAGUGAGUACGCACCUCUCCACGUUGGAUCCAUAUUACAAUCACUCAUUUCGGCAUUUUAUAUGCUCCUUCAAAAGACUGUUCAAUUCAUUAUGCUUGGCCGUAGUUUAAUAUUCCACUCUUGGUCCCUAAACUUGAGUGUUAUUUUUUCUUAUGUUUUAUUUAGCAGUCAUCGGUUCAAUAAUCUAAAAAUCAAGUCUAGUAAAUAGCUCACAUUAUUAGUAACUCUGCCUUCAAUAUAUAUCCAUUUCUAGUAUUUUUAUUUAUAGAUCAACCUUUUUAACCAAAAUCUUGAGAUGGUUCUAAAAGUUGGCAAGAAACCCCUUUUCUUGACGGAAAGAACCAUUUGUUUUGUUACGCAGAAGUUGUAUUUGAAUUCGUGAACUUUUGUUUAUGAUGUUUGAUCAAAUUUCUCACUGUGUACAGGAGAUUGAGAGACAAUUGGCUGCGAAAGAGGCUUCUCUUCCUAUGGAGCCUGCUACAGGCGACGAAAACGCUGUGACUCUUCUUGUUCGAAUGCCAGAUGGAAGCCGUCGUGGUCGUCGCUUUCUGAAAUCUGACAAUCUCCAGGUAUAACAAAUGUUGAGAAUACGCCAACAUAUACAUCUCUCUCACACGUACUCAACUUUGUUUGCUAUCUAUUAGAUCUGAUUGUUGCUCUGUUUUGUGUUGCAGUCUCUUUUUGAUUUCAUAGAUGUUGGUAGAGCGGUUAAGCCUGGGACCUAUAGAUUGGUAAAUUUUAUAUCCAUUUUCAUAUGCAUUUAUAUUAGUUGCAUGGUAAUGAUCCUUGGUAAAUUGUAGACCGAUUACUUGUUAGAAUACCUGCUGGAGAGAGUGUAGUGGUUCUCGCAAUGAAGAGUCAGUGAUAAUGGUCUGUGGAUAGGUUUCUGACCAUGCAUUCUGCAUUUUUGCUAUGUUAUUCUGCAUUUUUGCUAUGUUAUUCUGCAUUGUGAUCAUUAUCAUCUUGGUUUAGAGUAGAUAUAGAUUUCCGACUAUAGCCACUUCAUAGAGAACCAUUAUAAUGUCGUUUAGUCUAUCAGUUACUUGCUGUUACUCGUGAUGUUGUUGCAUACCUUUAUUAUUUGCUUACGUUGUUCUCAGUGGGUCUUACAUAUAGGAUAUCAUUGGGCAACAAAGGCAAAUUGAAGUUAUAUAUUUUUGACACUAGUUGUUUCUUGGACAGGUGAGGCCAUACCCUCGACGUGCUUUCAGUGAUGGUGAGAGCAAAUUGUCGUUGAGUGAUCUAGGAUUGACAAGCAAACAAGAAGCCUUGUUCCUAGAACUUAUUUAAGAUACCUCAUUGAAAUGUAGUGAAAUUUAGACGGUCGUUUUACAUAUAGAAUAUAGAAGUAUGGAAGCUGAUUUUUGAGCUUUGGGUAUUUGAUUGGGAUGCCUUAAACAUGCAAAAAGCCAAGCGAAGGAUAGCAGAGUAACCAAGAUGAACUUGACUGUUUGUUUGAGUCGUACCCAACAUUGGUAUGAGAUGUUGAAUUCAUGGUUCUGAUGGAUUGAUGGAUGCACUUGUAUAGAAGAAAUAUUUUUAGUAGCAUUCUUAUUAAAAACUUGCUUCACUUUAUUCAAUGCCUGUGUCCUGUGAAAUCGAAACUGGCCUCAGAGAAUUCUUGGUCUUGUACUGUCCCAAGGACUCAUCAUGAAUGUGGUUCUGUUAUAAAGUGUUGAAAGAAUUUGGAAAUUUUCAGGUCUUUUGGAAAACAAAAUUUUGUACAAUCUAUUUCAAAAUGGUUGCCUAGAGAAAUUAUGUUUAACUGCUGAUUUUGUACGGCGAUGGUGAUGACUAAACAUUGCUCACAGGCACAAGCUUGCAUAUAUUGUAUAACUGCUGGAAGAUUUAUUACUGGAUAGAAGGGUACUGCUACUGCCUACUGAGAAAAUAUCCAAGUUUUACUCAAAUAAGGUGGCAGUUUGACUGUAUUGAAAUAAAAAUUUAAGUUGUGACCGGCUACUAUUCCUAGGUGAAAAUGUUUCUUUUUCUAAUUGUCUCUCUUGGCAUUAAACUUAGCAUAUUCAAGCUUCAACUUAAGAAAAACAGAGACUACCUGCAACCUAAACUGUUUCCAAGAUGAAGCAUGUAGUUGCUAGCUUUGAAAUUAAAUAAUGUUUUACCUUUCAUAAAACUAUAUUUACUGUAUGUUGCUUUGCAAUCUCUUACCUGUUGCGACUAGUGACUUUGUGAGAGAUCACUAUGGCUAGAAACAACCAACUUGCAAUAGUUUUUCCAUGUAUUGGGUAAGAUUUACGAGGAAUGCAGAAUUGGCUCAGACUUCAUAAACUGAUACCUAAAUUUCAAUUACAUACUAAAACGACAGAUGAUGAGCAACCUUAUUUCGAAGAUCAAGCCACACAAUUACCAGAUUGAUUGUGAUUUUGGACUUUCCUUAUGAACAAAAUAAUGAAUUUAUCCCAAUAUGAAUGAAAAGUAAACCUCCACUAGAAACACUAAGAUGGAUAGAAAUAUUAGAGAUUAGAGCAGUGAAGUGAAGAUAAGAUGAACUGGACAAUUAUAGUUGCAAAAUCAUAAUCACCACAAAUCACAAUAGUCCCUGUUUCCUACAUACACGAAUUACCUUCAAUGAUAAUCAUUCUGAUACACAUGUCAGAGAUUGUAUCAAUCAAAAGGCUGCGUUUUUUUCUUGCAAUGCCACUCCAGAACCAUAUUGAACUUCAAGCAUUGUGCAAUGCUCAUCUUACCAAGUUCAGUGAAAUUAUAUAACAUGAUCUUCCUUUUAUCAGGAUCAUCCAUGACAUAAUCUGAUAAUCCUAUUAAUUAUUGAUAACUGCCUUUAAUCACUUAAUUCAACUGAGCAUACAAUUAAUUAAUCUGCAAAUAAAAUUUCUUACAAUAAACAAAAAUAAUUAUUUGACAUUUUUUUGAAUUUUUUUCCUGCUAAGUAAUUUAACUGAUUACAUUAAUCAAAAAGAAAUCAAACACAAAUACAGAAUCACAAACUAAACCCUAACCCUAACAAAUCUCAUCAUCAAAUCUCACAAACUAGUUGAUCAAUUGGUCUUUGGAUCUGGCAUAGGGAACAAACCAGCAUUAGCAGAACCUCUUGGUGGUGAAAACCCUAAAAAUUUCUGCAAAUUAGUUCGAAUACUAAUCGAACACAAGAAAUACAAAAAAGCCAUUGAACAAUCAGUAAUAUCAUCACCAGGAAUACCACGAUGACUCAUCUUCUGAACUAAUGCUGCUGGUGAAAAAGGUAAUUUCGCAACUGAUUUACCUUCAAAUAAUGAAUUAAGUAAACCAAAAACAACAAAAAGAACAACAGCAACAACAGCACCAGAUUUGAAUUUAGAUAAAGAUAGAUCUCGUGUUGAUUCUUUUAAAGAAGAUUCAACUCGAUCGAUCUUUUUCUUGGUUUUAGUUUUCUUUGUUGUUGUUUCUGAAACUGUUUUCAUUGUUUCGAGUUUCUUUGAAGCUUUAUCGAUUGAAGAUCGAAGUGAUUUGUAUGAUGAUGUUCGAUAGAUUAGAAUCCAUGAAAUUCCUUCACAUAGAAAAGCUGUACAGAUCGAGAUGAAGACGACGAUCAAACUGUCUGAGUAUUUGAAUGAAGAAAGAAACUCCAUUAUCAAAAAGAAUCUCGUAAAGAAGAAAGAAGAAGAAGAGAGAGAAAGUGUGUUUCUUCUCCUUUACUUGCUUGGUUGCGAUUUGAGAAGAAUUUCUGGAGAAUUUAUUGAAGUCGUUGUUUAUAGAAUUUUAGAUAAGUUAUGUGUUGUUUUAAUUGCACCCACCACUUAAUUUACUAAUUACACUCACAAUACACUUCUAGAGUUCUAGAACCACAAGGUAAAUAAGCUCCCAUAGAAGUCUGAUGAUCACAAUCUAACAUACUGUAUGCUAAAGUUGCCCACAUUGGCUUGAAAACCUGAUGCAAUUAGACAACACACCAAAGGAAAAAAUUAUUGGGCAGAUAAUGGCUGGUUUCGGACUUUCGGUUUCGUAAGAUGUAUAAUGAAAGGAAAUUUUGCAAGAUCACCACCCUAAAGAACUUUCAGGAAGCAAGCUUUUCAGUUGAUGCAGCAGUAAAAGGAUAAUGGCUUCGCUGCAGGUGUGACUGGCUAUAAAGCAGGACAGUCUAAUUAAAAAAGUGCAGCUGGCCUGCAGGCUGCAGCAAUUGGUCUAGGAUAAACUCUGCUAUAGACUGCAUGAUUUUCUCAUAGGUGUUUCUCUUGGACUUGGACCUGAAUGUAUGCGGAUUUACCUUACGGAGUUUUUACACGCGCUGACCAGGAAUGUGUGUUUUGCAUUUGUGCUCGACAACUGUAACAGGCUUGUGAAUUUAUGUGCCCUGUAAAUAUUUGCGAGCAUUGUUUGUGAAUAGGCAACAGAGGCCCAAUUUUAUUUGCAGUGCUUCCAGUAAAAUUGGUAUACCACCCUGGCAAGGGCAUAUUAGAUUGUGCAAGGUAUAUCCAUGAAAAGUUUAAAACCACUUGCACUGUCCUUUCUAGUUGGGAUUUUCUGGGGGUGAAGUAAGCAAUGUUAUAAGGUAGAUUAGUUCAACUUUCACUCAUUCUUGUUAUCUGUAUAUAGAAUAUAGAUAGCAGCAUUAAAAUGUGAUUAUGUUUGUAACCUCUCAUCGACGGGAACAAUUAGACUGAAACUUGUUGUUUUCGAUUGUUGAAUUGGUAUUUUAAUUUCACAACCACAUAAUAAGUAGAGAGGGAUUGUUUUUAAUAUAAACCUGUUUGAUUUGGAUAUUCCAAUUUUUUUGGUUGUAAACCAUCUCAAUUAAUAAGAUAAUAAGUACUAACUCAUUUCAUAGAAGAAAAUAUAAUCCAUUUAUUAAUACUCCAAUAAGCUUUACUUCCAUCUGAUAUCACGCCAUUUUUAAAAACCAGAUGAACAAAAAGGGUGAGGUAAAAGAGGACCAACAGAACAAGGUAACAGUAAGAACAUGUAGAAUUUAUUGCAGAUAAUCAAGUCCACAUCUCACUCUCAUGCACCUGUCAUCCAAGAAGAAAGCACAACAGUUAGUGAACAAGUCUUGGCUUAAUAAGAUUUCUGAGAGAAUGGAAAAUACAUACUUUCAUCAUGCACUAAUAUAAUUUAACCACAUGUGAGGGCAGGGAGACUGCAAGCAGCAGGAAUUCGAGAAGCAAUCCUAAGAGUGUUGCAUAGGCAGCCAUGU